UCCCAAAUAGUCUAGGCGGUUAGGAUACGUGGCUUUCACCCACGCGAACCGGGUUCGAGUCCCGGUUUGGUAA
Molecule: transfer RNA, 73 nt
Filed under: Phytophthora pseudosyringae
Lineage: Eukaryota; Oomycota; Peronosporomycetes; Peronosporales; Peronosporaceae
Rfam family: tRNA
About the family: Transfer RNA (tRNA) molecules are approximately 80 nucleotides in length. Their secondary structure includes four short double-helical elements and three loops (D, anti-codon, and T loops).
Source: Rfam by way of RNAcentral